RNAcentral lists this ribosomal RNA (484 nucleotides) under uncultured bacterium. RNAcentral's name for it is "partial 16S ribosomal RNA". It matches the Rfam family "Bacterial small subunit ribosomal RNA", at positions 29 to 507 of the family's 1533-position model. The record is from RNAcentral.
AUUGAACGCUGGCGGCAUGCUUUACACAUGCAAGUCGAACGGCAGCGCGGGCUUCGGCCUGGCGGCGAGUGGCGAACGGGUGAGUAAUACAUCGGAACGUGCCCAGUAGUGGGGGAUAGCUCGGCGAAAGCCGGAUUAAUACCGCAUACGACCUGAGGGUGAAAGCGGGGGAUCUUCGGACCUCGCGCUCUUGGAGCGUCCGAUGGCAGAUUAGCUAGUUGGUGGGGUAAAGGCCUACCAAGGCGACGAUCUGUAGCUGGUCUGAGAGGACGACCAGCCACACUGGGACUGAGACACGGCCCAGACUCCUACGGGAGGCAGCAGUGGGGAAUUUUGGACAAUGGGCGAAAGCCUGAUCCAGCAAUGCCGCGUGUGUGAUGAAGGCCUUCGGGUUGUAAAGCACUUUUGGCGGGAACGAAAAGGACUGUGCCAAUACCACGGUUCGAUGACGGUACCCGCAGAAUAAGCACCGGCUAACUACGUG